AGUCGGUUAGACGGUUGCGGAUAGCAAUAUCUGAGGAAAGUCCGAGCCCCACAGGGCAGAAUAGCGGCUAACGGCUGCCGAGGGUGACCUUAGGGAAAGUGCAACAGAGAUAUACCGCCUGCUUUGCAGGUAAGGGUGGAAAGGCGAGGUAAGAGCUCACCGGUUUCACGGGAACGUCGAAACCCUGUAAACCCUAUUCGGAGCAACGCUGAGUGUGGCUAUACAUUUGCCCGAUGUGCCACGAAAAGCGGCUUGAGCGGAGGGAGUAAUCCCCCGUCGAGAUAGAUGAUCGUCCAAGACAGAACUCGGCUUACAGACCGACUCAU
This 326-nucleotide RNase P RNA is filed under the name pig gut metagenome. RNAcentral describes it as "Bacterial RNase P class A". It matches the Rfam family "Bacterial RNase P class A". Rfam says of the family: Ribonuclease P (RNase P) is a ubiquitous endoribonuclease, found in archaea, bacteria and eukarya as well as chloroplasts and mitochondria. Its best characterised activity is the generation of mature 5'-ends of tRNAs by cleaving the 5'-leader elements of precursor-tRNAs. Cellular RNase Ps are ribonucleoproteins. The record is from RNAcentral.